RNAcentral lists this transfer RNA (77 nucleotides) under Candidatus Nitrosopumilus sp. Its description in RNAcentral is "Nitrosopumilus sp. tRNA-Phe". It matches the Rfam family "tRNA". Rfam says of the family: Transfer RNA (tRNA) molecules are approximately 80 nucleotides in length. Lineage: Archaea; Thermoproteati; Nitrososphaerota; Nitrososphaeria; Nitrosopumilales; Nitrosopumilaceae. The record is from RNAcentral.
GCCGAGGUAGCUCAGCCUGGAAGAGCACCACGCUGAAGACGUGGCUGUCCCUUGUUCAAAUCAUGGCCUCGGCACCA